RNAcentral lists this long non-coding RNA (223 nucleotides) under Glycine max (soybean). RNAcentral describes it as "long non-coding RNA (GMAX_LNC002798)". Lineage: Eukaryota; Viridiplantae; Streptophyta; Magnoliopsida; Fabales; Fabaceae. The record is from RNAcentral.
UCUGAUUUGUUGGGUCAGCUGUUCUAGGUCUUCAAGAGGCAUGGAGGAAGAACUGCGGGAUGUUCGUGAAGCUGAUCCAAAGUAUUGCUUUAUGGUGACACCGGCUCCAACAGCACGAACACGGCCAGGGUGCUCUGGUCGCCCAAUGGCAGCAGUCAGGAUAUCCUGACGUCCAUGGGGGACAAACGAUCCCUGUGACGCCUGCUCGUCCAAAGAAUCCUGU